RNAcentral lists this ribosomal RNA (494 nucleotides) under uncultured bacterium. RNAcentral's name for it is "partial 16S ribosomal RNA". It matches the Rfam family "Bacterial small subunit ribosomal RNA", at positions 31 to 507 of the family's 1533-position model. The record is from RNAcentral.
GAACGCUGGCGGCGUGCCUAAUACAUGCAAGUCGAGCGAACAGACGAGGAGCUUGCUCCUCUGACGUUAGCGGCGGACGGGUGAGUAACACGUGGAUAACCUACCUAUAAGACUGGGAUAACUUCGGGAAACCGGAGCUAAUACCGGGUAAUAUAUUGAACCGCAUGGUUCAAUAGUGAAAGACGGUUUUGCUGUCACUUAUAGAUGGAUCCGCGCCGCAUUAGCUAGUUGGUAAGGUAACGGCUUACCAAGGCAACGAUGCGUAGCCGACCUGAGAGGGUGAUCGGCCACACUGGAACUGAGACACGGUCCAGACUCCUACGGGAGGCAGCAGUAGGGAAUCUUCCGCAAUGGGCGAAAGCCUGACGGAGCAACGCCGCGUGAGUGAUGAAGGUCUUCGGAUCGUAAAACUCUGUUAUUAGGGAAGAACAAAUGUGUAAGUAACUAUGCACGUCUUGACGGUACCUAAUCAGAAAGCCACGGCUAACUACGUG